CUUCGUGAUCUGGUCCACGCAUCACAAACCCCAAUCCCACUCUCUUCAUUCUCUCCUCUAGAACGAACCGCAAUGGCAAACCCUAAGGUUUUCUUUGACAUGACGAUCGGAGGCCAGCCGGCCGGCCGAAUCGUGAUGGAGCUCUUCGCCGACACCACCCCCGCACCGCCGAGAACUUCAGGGCUCUCUGCACCGGCGAGAAGGGCAACGGCCGCUCCGGCAAGCCCCUCCACUACAAGGGAUCCGCCUUCCACCGCGUGAUCCCCGGGUUCAUGUGCCAGGGAGGUGACUUCACCGCCGGAAACGGCACCGGAGGAGAGUCGAUCUACGGCGCCAAGUUCGCCGACGAGAACUUCAAGAAGAAGCACACCGGACCUGGAAUAUUAUCCAUGGCCAACGCGGGUCCCGGAACCAACGGAUCUCAGUUCUUCAUCUGCACAGCCAAGACCGAGUGGCUCGACGGCAAGCACGUGGUGUUCGGGCAGGUGAUCGAGGGUCUGGAUGUGGUGAAGAACAUCGAGAAGGUCGGAUCUGGACAGGGAAGGACCUCGAAGCCGGUGGUUAUCGCCGACUGCGGCCAGCUAUCCUAGACGCCGCCGCUUGGGCUGCUGAUGUAUGGACGAUGGAAACGUCGUAUUAGGGUUUGGGUUAUGGACCUUAUUAUGGUUUUAAUUUUCUAAUUUUCCGUAUAAUGCUCUUCCGGUGGUUUCUUUGCUGAGACUCUCAGAUUCUUUAUUCUGUAUUGAAAUGAGCUAUUAUCGUUAAAUAAAAUAGGUCUUGUUCUCAAUUAUCAUUUAA
Molecule: non-coding RNA, 798 nt
Organism: Malus domestica (apple)
Lineage: Eukaryota; Viridiplantae; Streptophyta; Magnoliopsida; Rosales; Rosaceae
Source: RefSeq, a predicted model, not a curated record